Molecule: ribosomal RNA, 130 nt
Filed under: uncultured bacterium
Lineage: Bacteria
Description: partial 16S ribosomal RNA
Rfam family: Bacterial small subunit ribosomal RNA
Source: RNAcentral
UGUGCCCAGAUGGGAUUAGCUAGUAGGUGGGGUAACGGCUCACCUAGGCGACGAUCCCUAGCUGGUCUGAGAGGAUGACCAGCCACACUGGAACUGAGACACGGUCCAGACUCCUAAGGGAGGCAGCAUG